UACGAAGGGGGCUAGCGUUGUCCGGAAUUAUUGGGCGUAAAGAGCUCGUAGGCGGUCUGUCGCGUCUGCUGUGAAAACCUAGGGCUUAACUCUGGGCGUGCAGUGGGUACGGGCAGGCUAGAGUGCGGUAGGGGAGACUGGAAUUCCUGGUGUAGCGGUGGAAUGCGCAGAUAUCAGGAGGAACACCGAUGGCGAAGGCAGAUCUCUGGGCCGUAACUGACGCUGAGGAGCGAAAGCAUGGGGAGCGAACAGG
Molecule: ribosomal RNA, 253 nt
Filed under: uncultured bacterium
Lineage: Bacteria
Description: partial 16S ribosomal RNA
Rfam family: Bacterial small subunit ribosomal RNA
Source: RNAcentral